RNAcentral lists this small RNA (188 nucleotides) under Chelonoidis abingdonii (Abingdon island giant tortoise). Its description in RNAcentral is "TUC338 (ENSCABG00000005038.1)". Lineage: Eukaryota; Metazoa; Chordata; Testudines; Testudinidae. The record is from RNAcentral.
UUGACAAUCCUGUAGGCUGAAGCCCUCUGUUUGCCCACAGACAAGGGACAGCAUGGACAGUGGCCAUACAAGCUCUCCACUGCCCCCUUUGCCCCCAUCUGCUCUACCAGUGUGCCCCAACUUGACCUAGAAGGGCUGCCUUUAAGGUGGAGAGGGGAGAUCCGACUCUCCUUCAAUGCUAUGGUGAC